This 312-nucleotide ribosomal RNA is filed under the name uncultured Glomeromycotina. Its description in RNAcentral is "SSU rRNA". It matches the Rfam family "Eukaryotic small subunit ribosomal RNA", at positions 569 to 887 of the family's 1831-position model. Lineage: Eukaryota; Fungi; Glomeromycota. The record is from RNAcentral.
AGCAGCCGCGGUAAUUCCAGCUCCAAUAGCGUAUAUUAAAGUUGCUGCAGUUAAAAAGCUCGUAGUUGAAUUUCGGGACCAUCAUGUCGGUCGCGCCUCGGUACGUACUGGCAUUGUUGGUUUCUACCUUCUGACGAACCAUGAUGUCAUUAAUUUGGUGUUAUGGGAAAUCAGGACUGUUACUUUGAAAAAAUUGAGUGUUUAAAGCAGGCAUUAGCUUGAAUACAUUAGCAUGGAAUAAUGAAAUAGGACGUUCGAACCUAUUUUGUUGGUUUUUAGGAUCAACGUAAUGAUUAAUAGGGAUAGUUGGAG